This is a long non-coding RNA of Rhipicephalus microplus (southern cattle tick), 1177 nucleotides long. RefSeq lists it as uncharacterized. The record is from RefSeq and is a predicted model, not a curated record. Lineage: Eukaryota; Metazoa; Arthropoda; Arachnida; Ixodida; Ixodidae.
CGCAUGCUAAGCGACAUACGAGACAAGCAGCAAACUGUGUAACCUCCGCUCAUUUGGUUCCAGGGCAUACUGAGGAUGCCACCUGCAUAUUUUGCGAAACGUGAACAUAUGCACGUGUCGGAAGAAGAAAAUGAGCAGCAGAAUUUUAUCUUACUUUGCCACCAAUGCAGCUGAUCAGGAGUGACAGAAAGGAAUACUACGCUGUCAAUGCCGUCUGUUUGGCCCUGAUAUCCAACUGAUUGCCUCACAUCAUGGCUUGUUUCACGGUCGUCACAGCCAUCACCCUUCAGUUGCUGCUCGCCGACAUCGUCGACAGUGUACCCCUUUUCGGCGUACCCUGACAUGGCGAGCUUGUUCACUCUAGUUCAACCACAUUGGCAAAGUCUCGAGUAAAAACUGGCAACUUCUCUAUGCUGCUAAGUUUGCAUAUGUGAACUUCACUAGUUAUGUGAACUGUUGUGGCGGUAUGGCAGUUAGUUGCUUCUCUGAUGGUGAUGCAGGUUCGUGCUCAUUUGUCAUUAUACUCUAAAAUAUUGCAUUUCCUGUGCUUGCUGCUGUUCCUGUGGCCAGAAGUAUGAUUAUAUAUGUAUCCAUUGUUGACAUUUACGGCGUUAUAUUUUUGUGAGAAAUCGGUACCCGGUCAUAAUACUCGUUCUGAAUACCUUCGAAAAAUCAACUUCCCUCCUAAUAACUUCCGCAAACAAGUGAGUGUACUUUGCCACUUUUCCAAAGAUGCGCAGAACCACUCGCUACAGUGUAUCAAGUUAGAAGCUGCAUACCCUUUAUAUUCAAAGAAGUUGAAAAGCUAAAAUUAUUGGCACACACAAUACUAGAAAUGCUUAAAUGAAAAAUACUAGACAGUUGUGCAGAGCAGCGCAUAGCAAUCUAAAGAUGAACUUGAGCUCUCCUCUAGAUACAAACUAAUAAAAUCUGGACUGUAUGAACAAGAAUAGUGUUGUCAAGGCCGUUCAUUCAUUUAUGGCCCAAUGGACUAAAUGACAACAACGUGGUAAUCAACUGACAGAAAAUAGUUGCAGUGCCUUGUGUAUUCGUUUCGUUAUCAAUAUUUCUCGCUUGGUUGUGGCUGGGAGGUCACUGUUUUGCGUGAAUUACACUGAGCAGAUGCUCUACUGAUCGCGUUUCGCUUUUUCUGACCAGGCAUAGGCUACUUUAACUU